RNAcentral lists this ribosomal RNA (502 nucleotides) under uncultured bacterium. Its description in RNAcentral is "partial 16S ribosomal RNA". It matches the Rfam family "Bacterial small subunit ribosomal RNA", at positions 899 to 1397 of the family's 1533-position model. The record is from RNAcentral.
ACUCAAAGGAAUAGACGGGGGCCCGCACAAGCGGUGGAGCAUGUGGUUUAAUUCGACGCAACGCGAAGAACCUUACCUGGGCUUGAACUACUCGUGGUAAGCCGUAAGAAACUAUGGCUGACCCGCAAGGGAGCGAGCAGAGGUGCUGCAUGGUUGUCGUCAGCUCGUGUCGUGAGAUGUUGGGUUAAGUCCCGCAACGAGCGCAACCCCUAUCUCAUGUUGCUAAUCCCGCAAGGGAUGCACUCUUGAGAAACUGCCUUCGAUAAGAAGGAGGAAGGUGGGGACGACGUCAAAUCCUCAUGGCCCUUAUGUCCAGGGCAACACACGUGCUACAAUGGUCGGUACAACGGGAAGCAAUACCGCAAGGUGGAGCAAAACCCUGAAAGCCGGCCCCAGUUCAGAUCGUGGGCUGCAACUCGCCCACGUGAAGGCGGAAUCGCUAGUAAUCGCGAAUCAGCAGGUCGCGGUGAAUACGUUCCCGGGCCUUGUACACACCGCCCGU